Molecule: ribosomal RNA, 812 nt
Filed under: uncultured Thermofilum sp.
Lineage: Archaea; Thermoproteati; Thermoproteota; Thermoprotei; Thermofilales; Thermofilaceae
Description: bacterial SSU rRNA
Rfam family: Archaeal small subunit ribosomal RNA
Source: RNAcentral
ACGGCUCAGUAACACGUGGUCAAUCUACCCUCAGGACGGAGAUAACCUCGGGAAACUGAGGCUAAUAUCCGAUAGAUAAUGGAUCCUGGAAUGGUUCAUUAUUCAAACGGCACAUUGCUCAUGCGCAGUGUGUCGCCUGAGGAUGAGACUGCACCCUAUCAGGUAGUUGGUGGGGUAAUGGCCCACCAAGCCUAUAACGGGUACGGGCCCUGAGAGGGGGAGCCCGGAGAUGGGCACUGAGACAAGGGCCCAGGCCCUACGGGGCGCAGCAGGCGCGAAACCUCUGCAAUGCGCGAAAGCGCGACAGGGCCACCCCGAGUGCUAGCCGCUGAGGUUAGCUUUUCCUUAGUGUAGUAAGCUAAGGGAAUAAGCGGGGGGCAAGCCUGGUGUCAGCCGCCGCGGUAAUACCAGCUCCGCGAGUGGUCGGGACGAUUAUUGGGCCUAAAGCGUCCGUAGCCGGCCUAUCAAGUCUCUGGUUAAACCUCAAGGCUCAACCUUGAGAUCGCUGGAGAUACUGUUAGGCUAGGGGGCGGGAGAGGUUGAGGGUACUUCGCGGGUAGGGGCGAAAUCCUAUAAUCCGCGAAGGACCACCAGUGGCGAAGGCGCUCAACUGGAACGCGCCCGACGGUGAGGGACGAAAGCCAGGGGAGCAAAGGGGAUUAGAUACCCCCGUAGUCCUGGCUGUAAACGAUGCGGGCUAGGUGUUGGGUUGGCUUCGUGCCAACCCGGUGCCCGCAGUGAAGACGAUAAGCCCGCCGCCUGGGAAGUACGGGUUGCAAAGCUGAAACUUACAGGAAUUGGCGGGGGAGCAC